Molecule: ribosomal RNA, 469 nt
Filed under: uncultured organism
Description: partial 16S ribosomal RNA
Rfam family: Bacterial small subunit ribosomal RNA
Source: RNAcentral
AUCCUACGGGAGGCAGCAGUGGGGAAUUUUGGACAAUGGGCGAAAGCCUGAUCCAGCAAUGCCGCGUGCGUGAAGAAGGCCUUCGGGUUGUAAAGCUCUUUUGUCAGGGAAGAAACGGUGAAAGCUAAUAUCUUUUGCUAAUGACGGUACCUGAAGAAUAAGCACCGGCUAACUACGUGCCAGCAGCCGCGGUAAUACGUAGGGUGCAAGCGUUAAUCGGAAUUACUGGGCGUAAAGCGUGCGCAGGCGGUUUUGUAAGUCUGAUGUGAAAUCCCCGGGCUCAACCUGGGAAUUGCAUUGGAGACUGCAAGGCUAGAAUCUGGCAGAGGGGGGUAGAAUUCCACGUGUAGCAGUGAAAUGCGUAGAUAUGUGGAGGAACACCGAUGGCGAAGGCAGCCCCCUGGGUCAAGAUUGAUGCUCAUGCACGAAAGCGUGGGGAGCAAACAGGAUUAGAAACCCUAGUAGUCCC